This 196-nucleotide ribosomal RNA is filed under the name uncultured bacterium. RNAcentral describes it as "partial 16S ribosomal RNA". It matches the Rfam family "Bacterial small subunit ribosomal RNA", at positions 328 to 539 of the family's 1533-position model. The record is from RNAcentral.
ACGCUCGACACCUACGGGGGCAGCAGUGGGGAAUAUUGCACAAUGGGGGAAACCCUGAUGCAGCGACGCCGCGUGGAGGAAGAAGGUCUUCGGAUUGUAAACUCCUGUUGUUGGGGAAAAAGAGGAUGGUACCCAACAAGGAAGUGACGGCUAACUACGUGCAGCAGCCGCGGUAAUCUGAGCGGGCUGGCAAGGC